UACGUAGGGUGCAAGCGUUGUCCGGAUUUAUUGGGCGUAAAGAGCUUGUAGGCGGUUUGUCGCGUCUGCUGUGAAAUUUCGGGGCUCAACCCCGAACUUGCAGUGGGUACGGGCAGACUAGAGUGUGGUAGGCGAGACUGGAAUUCCUGGUGUAGCGGUGAAAUGCGCAGAUAUCAGGAGGAACACCGAUGGCGAAGGCAGGUCUCUGGGCCAUAACUGACGCUGAGAAGCGAAAGCAUGGGGAGCGAACAGG
Molecule: ribosomal RNA, 253 nt
Filed under: uncultured bacterium
Lineage: Bacteria
Description: partial 16S ribosomal RNA
Rfam family: Bacterial small subunit ribosomal RNA
Source: RNAcentral